RNAcentral lists this ribosomal RNA (447 nucleotides) under uncultured bacterium. RNAcentral describes it as "partial 16S ribosomal RNA". It matches the Rfam family "Bacterial small subunit ribosomal RNA", at positions 329 to 793 of the family's 1533-position model. The record is from RNAcentral.
GGCCAGACUCCUACGGGAGGCAGCAGUGGGGAAUAUUGCACAAUGGGGGGAACCCUGAUGCAGCGACGCCGCGUGAGUGAAGAAGUAUUUCGGUAUGUAAAGCUCUAUCAGCAGGGACGAAGAUGACGGUACCUGCAGAAGAAGCCCCGGCUAACUACGUGCCAGCAGCCGCGGUAAUACGUAGGGGGCAAGCGUUAUCCGGAUUUACUGGGUGUAAAGGGGGCGCAGACGGCGAUGCAAGCCAGGAGUGAAAGCCCGGGGCCCAACCCCGGGACUGCUCUUGGAACUGCGUGGCUAGAGUGCAGGAGGGGCAGGCGGAAUUCCUGGUGUAGCGGUGAAAUGCGUAGAUAUCAGGAGGAACACCGGUGGCGAAGGCGGCCUGCUGGACUGCAACUGACGUUGAGGCCCGAAAGCGUGGGGAGCAAACAGGAUUAGAUACCCCCGUAC